RNAcentral lists this small RNA (646 nucleotides) under Arabidopsis thaliana (thale cress). Its description in RNAcentral is "ATSL164900". The record is from RNAcentral. Lineage: Eukaryota; Viridiplantae; Streptophyta; Magnoliopsida; Brassicales; Brassicaceae.
AACCUGCUACUCAGUUCAUUGACGUGUCUGUCAAAUUUGUUGUUUAAGUCAGCCAGCUUCUUAGCGGGUUCCAUUACCCCUGCGGCUUGGCCUUGCAUGAUCUGUUGGAGCAUAUUCUUGAUGUCUGAUUCCUGGGGUGCAGAGGCCUGAUGUUGUUGUGGUGUGAAACCAGUUGGUGGCUGUUGCUGUUGAUACCCUCCUUGGAACUGCUGCUUAGGGACGAACCCUUGGCUUUGGUUGUAAGUAACAAACGGUUUGGGUUGGUUCUGCUGCUGCUGUUGAGGGUAAACUUGGUCCUGAGGAUUGGCGACAUUUGUGCUUCUGUAUGACAGAUUUGGGUUGGGUCUGUAAUUGAUGUACCCUUUGUCGUAGCCGCCUUGGUUCUGAACAUAACUGAUUUCAGCGCACUGAUCAUUCUCCCCCUCUUGGAUUUGGAAUACUUUGUCUUCAGAGGCGAAGUGAACAUGCUUCUGCUGCACUUGGAGGAGUUUGUCGAUUUUGUCAUGGAGAGCUUUAAUCUCUCAGCGGUGCUUGUCAUCAGAUUCAGUACUGGUGCGGAUGCUUCUGUCAUAAUCCUCGUUGUAAUUGCCAUCCGACUGAGCCAAGUUUUCAACUAGCUCCCAUCCGUCUUCGACAUCCUUUUUCA